RNAcentral lists this transfer RNA (73 nucleotides) under hydrothermal vent metagenome. RNAcentral describes it as "tRNA-Ala-GGC". It matches the Rfam family "tRNA". Rfam says of the family: Transfer RNA (tRNA) molecules are approximately 80 nucleotides in length. Their secondary structure includes four short double-helical elements and three loops (D, anti-codon, and T loops). The record is from RNAcentral.
GGGGCAUUAGCUCAGCUGGGAGAGCGCUUCACUGGCAGUGAAGAGGUCAUCGGUUCGAACCCGUUAUGCUCCA